CUGCGAAUGGCUCAUUAAAUCAGUUAUCGUUUAUUUGAUAGUACCUUACUACUUGGAUAACCGUGGUAAUUCUAGAGCUAAUACAUGCUAAAAACCCCGACUUCGGGAGGGGUGUAUUUAUUAGAUAAAAAACCAAUGCCCUUCGGGGCUCUUUGGUGAUUCAUAAUAACUUAACGGAUCGCAUGGCCUUGCGCCGGCGACGGUUCAUUCAAAUUUCUGCCCUAUCAACUUUCGAUGGUAAGGUAUUGGCUUACCAUGGUUUCAACGGGUAACGGGGAAUUAGGGUUCGAUUCCGGAGAGGGAGCCUGAGAAACGGCUACCACAUCCAAGGAAGGCAGCAGGCGCGCAAAUUACCCAAUCCCGACACGGGGAGGUAGUGACAAUAAAUACUGAUACAGGGCUCUUUUGGGUCUUGUAAUUGGAAUGAGUACAAUUUAAACCCCUUAACGAGGAACAAUUGGAGGGCAAGUCUGGUGCCAGCAGCCGCGGUAAUUCCAGCUCCAAUAGCGUAUAUUAAAGUUGUUGCAGUUAAAAAGCUCGUAGUUGAAACUUGGGCCUGGCUGGCCGGUCCGCCUCACCGCGUGUACUGGUCCGGCCGGGCCUUUCCUUCUGGAGAGCCUCAUGUCCUUCACUGGGUGUGUUGGGGAACCAGGACUUUUACUUUGAAAAAAUUAGAGUGUUCAAAGCAGGCCUUUGCUCGAAUACGUUAGCAUGGAAUAAUAGAAUAGGACGUGCGAUCCUAUUUUGUUGGUUUCUAGGACCGCCGUAAUGAUUAAUAGGGAUAGUCGGGGGCAUCAGUAUUCAAUUGUCAGAGGUGAAAUUCUUGGAUUUAUUGAAGACUAACUACUGCGAAAGCAUUUGCCAAGGAUGUUUUCAUUAAUCAGUGAACGAAAGUUAGGGGAUCGAAGACGAUCAGAUACCGUCGUAGUCUUAACCGUAAACUAUGCCGACUAGGGAUCGGGCGAUGUUAUUAUUUUGACUCGCUCGGCACCUUACGAGA
Molecule: ribosomal RNA, 1000 nt
Filed under: Lindgomyces aquaticus
Lineage: Eukaryota; Fungi; Ascomycota; Dothideomycetes; Pleosporales; Lindgomycetaceae
Description: SSU rRNA
Rfam family: Eukaryotic small subunit ribosomal RNA
Source: RNAcentral